UAAAGCAAAGAAGAGCGCAGAGUGAAUGCCUUGGCAUUGAGAGCCGAAGAAGGACGUGGUUAACUGCGAUAAGCAGCGGGGAGUUGUAAGCAAGCAUUGAUCCGCUGAUUUCCGAAUGGAGCAAUCCGCAUGAAGUAGUUCAUGCAUCCAUAUGUGAAUCAAUAGCAUAUGGAGGGGAACCGCCUGAACUGAAACAUCUAAGUAGGGCGAGGAAGAGAAAUCAACCGAGAUUCCGUAAGUAGUGGCGAGCGAACGCGGAAGAGGCCAAACCGAGAGAAGAAAUUCUUUCGGGGUUCGGACUGCAUUUAGUAUUCCUGAUCUUUAGUCGAACAGUCUGGGAAGGCUGACGAGAGAGUGUGAGAGUCACGUAGACGAAAAGGAGAAGGAGCGAGCAGGAUCCAGAGUACCGCGGGGCACGUGAAAUCCCGUGGGAAGAUGGGGGGACCACCCUCCAAGCCUAAAUACUACUCAAUGACCGAUAGCGUAUAGUACUGUGAAGGAAAGGUGAAAAGCACCCCGGGAGGGGAGUGAAAUAGAACCUGAAACCCUGUGCCUACAAGCACCGAGAGCACGUCAAAGUGUGAUCGGGUACUUUUUGUAGAACGGUCCGGCGAGCGAAUGUAUGUAGCGAGGUUAAGGUGUUAAGCACUGGAGCCGCAGCGAGAGCGAGUCUGAAUAGGGCGUUGAGUUGCAUGCAUUGGGCCCGAAACCGAGUGACCUACCCAUGGUCAGGCUGAAGUGGAGGUAAAACUCCAUGGAGGGCCGAACCGACCUCCGUUGAAAAGGCGGCGGAUGAGAUGUGGCUAGCGGAGAAAUUCCAAUCGAACCCGGAUAUAGCUGGUUCUCCCCGAAAUAGCUUUAGGGCUAGCGUUGUAUUAGAUUACCGGAGGUAAAGCACUGAAUGGGCUAGGGGCUGAGAAGUUACUGAACCCUAUCAAACUAAGAAUGCCGGAUAAUUGAUGUACAGCAGUCAGACUAUGUGAGAUAAGUCUCAUAGUCAAAAGGGAAACAGCCCAGACCCACAGCUAAGGUCCCAAAAUGGAUUUAAGUGGAAAAGGAUGUGGAAUUGCACAGACAACCAGGAUGUUGGCUUAGAAGCAGCCACUCAUUAAAAGAGUGCGUAAUAGCUCACUGGUCGAGUGACUCUGCGCCGAAAAUUCAACGGGGCUAAAAUUCAUACCGAAGCUUGGGCUUGACAGCAAUGUCAGGGGUAGGGGAGCGUCGUAUACGAGGUGAAGUCAUAGCGGAAGCGGUGGUGGAUUGUAUACGAGUGAGAAUGCCGGAAUGAGUAGCGAGAAUUAUGUGAGAAUCAUAAUGGCCGAAAGUCUAAGGUUUCCUGAGGAAGGUUCGUCCUCUCAGGGUUAGCCGGGAGCUAAGGUGAGGCGGAAACGCGUAGCCGAUGCACAUACGGUAGAAAUUCCGUAGCCUCCGAAGAUUUAAGCACAGGGACACUUUUGAAGGGCUGAGCCGGGCGUUGGUUGCCCCGGUCGAAAGGGACACGAUUGAGUGGAAGUCAGUUUGGAAAGAGGCGAGAAAAGCUGUGUGUAUAUGGAAGGAGCCCGUACCGCAAACCGACACAGGUAGACAGGAAGAAGAUUCUAAGGCCAGCGGGAGAAGGGUUGUUAAGGAACUCGGCAAGUUGACCCCGUAACUUCGGGAGAAGGGGUGCUUACGAAGGUAAGCCGCAGAGAAUAGGCCCAAGCGACUGUUUAGCAAAAACACAGCUCUAUGCUAAAUCGAAAGAUGACGUAUAUGGGGUGACACCUGCCCGGUGCUGGAAGGUUAAGAGGAGAUGUGAGAGCAUUGAAUUGAAGCCCCAGUAAACGGCGGCCGUAACUAUAACGGUCCUAAGGUAGCGAAAUUCCUUGUCAGGUAAGUUCUGACCCGCACGAAUGGUGUAACGAUU
This 1906-nucleotide ribosomal RNA is filed under the name human gut metagenome. RNAcentral's name for it is "bacterial LSU rRNA". It matches the Rfam family "Bacterial large subunit ribosomal RNA", at positions 1 to 2009 of the family's 2925-position model. The record is from RNAcentral.